Molecule: ribosomal RNA, 406 nt
Filed under: uncultured bacterium
Lineage: Bacteria
Description: partial 16S ribosomal RNA
Rfam family: Bacterial small subunit ribosomal RNA
Source: RNAcentral
AUUGAACGCUGGCGGCAGGCCUAACACAUGCAAGUCGAACGAGUGGCGGACGGGUGAGUGGUGUCUGGGAACCUGCCUGAUGGAGGGGGAUGACGACUGGAAACGGUAGCUAAUACCGCAUACCAUCGGAUGGGCCGAGAUGGGAGUAGCUAGUAGGUGGGGUAAAGGCUCACCAAGGCGACGAUGCCUAGCUGGUCUGAGAGGCUGACCAGCCACACUGGGACUGAGACACGGCCCAGACUCCGACGGGAGGCAGCAGUGGGGAAUAUUCCACAAUGGGCGAAAGUCUGAUGCAGCAAUGCCGCGUGAAUGAAGAAGGCCUUCGGGUCGUAAAGCACUUUUGUUGGGGAGGCGUUAUCCACAGAGAAAGCCACGGCUAACUACGUGCCAGCAGCCGCGGUAAUAC